AACGAACGCUGGCGGCGUGCUUAACACAUGCAAGUCGAACGCGAAAGUUUUCUUCGGAAAGCGAGUAGAGUGGCGCACGGGUGAGUAACGCGUAAGUAAUCUACCCUGGUAUCUGGGAUAACUCACCGAAAGGUGUGCUAAUACCGGAUACGCUGAUUUAUCAGGAAAGGUGGCCUCUUCAUGAAAGCUACUGUACCAGGAGGAGCUUGCGUACCAUUAGCUAGUUGGUAGGGUAAAGGCCUACCAAGGCGACGAUGGUUAGCGGGUCUGAGAGGAUGAUCCGCCACACUGGAACUGGAACACGGACCAGACUCCUACGGGAGGCAGCAGUGAGGAAUAUUGCGCAAUGGGGGAAACCCUGACGCAGCGACGCCGCGUGGAUGAUGAAGGCCUUCGGGUCGUAAAAUCCUGUCAGAUGGAAAGAAGUG
Molecule: ribosomal RNA, 428 nt
Filed under: uncultured bacterium
Lineage: Bacteria
Description: bacterial SSU rRNA
Rfam family: Bacterial small subunit ribosomal RNA
Source: RNAcentral